UACAGAGGUGGCAAACGUUGUCCGGAUUUAUUGGGUGUAAAGGGCAUGUAGGUGGUUCUAUAAGUCAAAGGUGAAAUGGCCCGGCUCAACCAGGUCAUUGCCUUUGAAACUGCAGAACUUGAGUACGGAAGAGGAAAGCGGAAUUCCCAGUGUAGCGGUGAAAUGCGUAGAUAUCAGGAGGAACACCGGUGGCGAAGGCGGCUAUCUGGACAGAGUCUGACGCUGAGGCGCGAAAGCUAGGGGAGCAAACAGG
This 253-nucleotide ribosomal RNA is filed under the name uncultured bacterium. Its description in RNAcentral is "partial 16S ribosomal RNA". It matches the Rfam family "Bacterial small subunit ribosomal RNA", at positions 524 to 776 of the family's 1533-position model. The record is from RNAcentral.